This 506-nucleotide ribosomal RNA is filed under the name uncultured bacterium. RNAcentral's name for it is "partial 16S ribosomal RNA". It matches the Rfam family "Bacterial small subunit ribosomal RNA", at positions 29 to 523 of the family's 1533-position model. The record is from RNAcentral.
AGUGAACGCUGGCGGUAGGCCUAACACAUGCAAGUCGAACGGCAGCACAGGAGAGCUUGCUCUCUGGGUGGCGAGUGGCGGACGGGUGAGGAAUACAUCGGAAUCUACUUUUUCGUGGGGGAUAACGUAGGGAAACUUACGCUAAUACCGCAUACGACCUACGGGUGAAAGCAGGGGAUCUUCGGACCUUGCGCGAUUGAAUGAGCCGAUGUCGGAUUAGCUAGUUGGCGGGGUAAAGGCCCACCAAGGCGACGAUCCGUAGCUGGUCUGAGAGGAGGAGCAGCCACACUGGAACUGAGACACGGUCCAGACUCCUACGGGAGGCAGCAGUGGGGAAUAUUGGACAAUGGGCGCAAGCCUGAUUCAGCCAUACCGCGUGGGUGAAGAAGGCCUUCGGGUUGUAAAGCCCUUUUGUUGGGAAAGAAAUCCAGCUGGUUAAUACCCGGUUGGGAUGACGGUACCCAAAGAAUAAGCACCGGCUAACUUCGUGCCAGCCGCCGCAGUAA